AUUGAACGCUGGCGGCAGGCCUAACACAUGCAAGUCGAACGAGUGGCGGACGGGUGAGUAAUGUCUGGGAAACUGCCUGAUGGAGGGGGAUAACUACUGGAAACGGUAGCUACUACCGCAUACCAUCGGAUGAACCCAUAUGGGAUUAGCUAGUAGGUGGGGUAAUGGCUCACCUGGGCGACGAUCCCUAGCUGGUCUGAGAGGAUGAUCAGCCACACUGGGACUGAGACAGGGCCCAGACUACUGCGUGAGGCACCAGUGGGGAAUAUUGCGCAAUGGUCGCAAGCCUGAUGCAGCCAUGCCGCGUGUAUGAAGAAGGCCCUAGGGGUGUAAAGUACUUUCAGUCGGGAGGCGUUACCGACAGAAGAAGCACCGGCUAACUCCGUGCCAGCCGCCGCGGUAAUUC
Molecule: ribosomal RNA, 406 nt
Filed under: uncultured bacterium
Lineage: Bacteria
Description: partial 16S ribosomal RNA
Rfam family: Bacterial small subunit ribosomal RNA
Source: RNAcentral